This 6040-nucleotide long non-coding RNA is filed under the name Lactuca sativa (garden lettuce). RNAcentral's name for it is "long non-coding RNA (LSAT_LNC003442)". The record is from RNAcentral. Lineage: Eukaryota; Viridiplantae; Streptophyta; Magnoliopsida; Asterales; Asteraceae.
GCUAUAAAUAGCAUGCGAGCCAUUCCGAGUUUUUCACUCCAAGUCCACUUCUUUCUCUCACUAGUUUCUCUCUCUAGCUCAUCUAAACCCCCCAAAACACUAGAAAACCCCCUUAGCACCCUAGGGAAGCCCCGAGGCUCCCGGAGUCCCGAGAAAAAGGAGUUUUUCGGUUUCGAAACGCUGCUCCAAUUAAGUUCUGGUUUUCAAUAAUAUUCACUAUAAGUAUGCUACGCUUACGCAAUUUUUAAUAUAACUUUCAAAUAAUUAUAGGAAUGUUAUUAGGUCCUUAAAAUAAUUAAUUGGGCUAUUAUUAUGAGUUAUAUUGAGCGUUAUUAACGCUUAAUAAUAGUUAGACUAAUUAAUUUGUCGCGGUUAUCGUUAGACUAAAACCUAGUGGUAUUGGUACUAGGUUUUAUCGAAGGAAUAUCGUUUUGAGAGUAUCGAAGCGUUGUCCGAGUACUGAGUCACCACCUACUCAGGUGAGUGCAUAGUCCCUUUCAUCUUACACAUAGAUAUGAAGUAUUUUAUAUAAACUACGUGCUAUGUGUGCAUAUUAUCUGAAUACUUGUUGUCUAUGCUGGAUGAACAUUUUAUACAUGUUUUAAAGGAUUUAAACUGUAUAACGUAUUUUAUAUAUACGAAUAUGUUGGGUAUGAUGAUGGGUAGAUGAAUGAUGAGAGAUAGAAGAUGACGUGAGUAUACAUUGGCAGCUAUAGACUUAGUGUCUAUGGGAGAAACACCGGUAGCUAUGGACUUAGUACCUAUUAGACGUUGGUAGCUAUGGAUUUAGUACCUGUUGGGAAUUGGUAACUAUGGACUUAGUACCUAUUAGUUAGACGAUGGUAGCUAAGGAUUUAGUACCUGUAGGAAUUGGUAGCUAUGGACUUAGUACCUGUUGAACAUUGGUAGCUAUGGACUUAGUACCUAUUAGAUAAAGACUGGUAGCUAUGGAUUUAGUACCCGAUGAAUAGACUAUAGCAGCUAUGGAAUUAGUGCUUUAUGAACGAACAUUGGCAGCUAUGGAUUUAGUGCCAGUCCUAUAACCCUGGAAGUAAGGGACUUCGGAAUAAACGAAUGCAGGAUAGACGACUCUUAGGUUAAAUCCUUAAGAGUAAAGAAGAUAACGGGGAUGGGUAAUGGGGUUAAUUGUUUGAUGAUUAAACAUAACAAUUAUAUUAUUGUGGGUUGAAAACCCUAUGUACUCACCAGGUUUCCCAACCUGACCCACUCAGUUUAUGUAUAUCACAGGUGACGAAGUGAAGUGACAUUACACUGAGAGAUUUAAAAGAGAUGUAGAUCACUAGUGUAAAUCAUUGUAAUUCUGUUUAUGCUUAUGUUUCGGUAUUAACGAUGACAUCCCAAACAUUUUAAAAUGAAAUAAAUACGUUUCUUCGAAAAUGUUUUAAUAACGUAUUUACCAUGUUUUUCUGGGAACAAAUUCCGCAACCUUUUUAUAAAAUGAAGUACUCUGAUUUUUAUAAAGCAUAAACAAAAUCGGUCUUUUCUGGCCGUGAUUUUGGGGAUGUCACAGUUGGUAUCAGAGCAUUAGUUUAAGCGAACUAGGAAUAUGGAUUUAUUUCUAGACUUAAACUUAGAAUGCUAAGCGAUGAUUGUGAGGUGUGAGCACUAGCUUAUUUUAGGAAUUGUGCCUAAAAUGCUUUUAUGUGCUAAAUGCUUUGUGCAUGAUAUGUUGUUAAUUGUUCGGAUCUAUGGUCUGUUGCCGACCGGAUCUGGAAACCUUAUGUGUUUAGGAUUCUAAACGUACGACUACGGUAUUAGAACUAGCAUGUAAAUGUUUCGGAGUGAUAAGGAUGAUUUAAACGUCAAGUAAAGGUCUAAAUUCACCUUAUUCGGUGUAUAGAUCGAGAUGGUAAGGACCCGUAGCGGAAACGUAAACGCAAAUGGGAACAGGAACCAACCCCCAGUGGUUCAGCAAAUACCUGUUGUAGAAGAAGUUGCGCCUGAGCCAGUCACCAUGGCUGGAGUUCAAGCCAUGAUUCGGGCUAUGUUGGCUGAACAAAGGGAAGAAAUGAGACGGAUGUUGAAUAGGGACGAACCUACUAUGCCCAUUGAGCAACCCGAACUGAUUCCCGAGCAAUCUGAGGAAGGGAACUACAGCCGCCAAGUGAGUCAAGUUGGGACUCAAGGUGAGCAAAGGGAUGGCCCAGAAGGGAGAAACAACAAGGAUGGGCGGAUGUACAAGAACUUCUUGGGUGCGAAACCACCAAGCCUCUCAGGAAGCCCAAAGCCGGUUGAGGUUAUGGAUUGGAUCUCUGAGAUGGAGAUGGUGUUUGAGAGCUGCAGCUGUAAUGAGAAACAGAAGACUGUCUUUGCAGUAAGACAGCUGAAAACUGGAGUCUUGAGCUGGUGGAAGCUAUUGGCAGAUACGAUGCCACGAGGAGAAGCCUUAAGGAUGUCGUGGGAAGAGUUUUUGGAACAGUUGAAAAUGCAGUACUGCUCGGAGGUAGAUCUGAUAGACCUAAACAACGAGUUUCAGAACCUGAAGAAAGGGAAGAUGAGUGUUGAUGAGUAUGCCACCGCAUUUACCGAGAGGAUGAAGCUAUUUCCCUACUUGGUGCCUACUGAACUCUCCAAGAUUGAUAGGUUUGCUAACGGACUGCCCACUGACUUUGGUCCAAUGGUCAAAAUGGCAACUACCUUAAAAGCAGCUAUUAGGGCAGCUAAGAACGUAGAGGCCCAGAUAAGAGAAAAGGGUCUAGAAAAAGAUAAGGCAGGAGAGAAGCGAAAGUUUGAGGGAUCUUCGAGGUCGAACAAGGAAAGCAAAUUCUCAAAACUCGGAGGAGCAGAUGGAGGUGAAACAAGAUGGUGUGAUAAAUGCAAGAAGAAGCAUGGUGGGAAGUGCAACGAAGAAGUGACUUGUUACAAGUGUGGGAGGACGGGUCACUAUUCCAAAGACUGCACACAUAAUGACAAAGUAUGCUACGGAUGUGGAGGCAAGGGGCACAUGUCCAGAGACUGCCCAAGGAAAAAUAAAGCAGCAAGACCAGAAACGCCACCAAGGCCAAGGGCAUUUCACAUGAUCCUUGACGAAGCAGAGAACCAUGCGAGGAAUCAAGAAUGAGGACUUCUUACCCGAAGAUCGGAUUAUGCAGUAGCCAUAGUUUCGUAUGAUGUAGCCUAGUAGAGGCAUAGUCUAGGGUGAACUUGAACACCUAUGUAAUCGUUUCAAGAAUUAAUAUAAAACCUUCGUUUUGUUAUCUGAUGUGUUGAAUGAUUGUGUGAUUUGCUGCAUGGUGACUUGGGAAACUGCGAGACAAUACUUGGGACGAGUAUGAGUAGGUGUGAAUGGUAGUAGAGGCCUAUACUACCGGAAGCACAGGACUCACACUUGGAUCAGGGAAAGUCACAAGGUUACCAAGAAGCUAGUAAUUGAUUUCGUUUUAUUCAAGUGUGUUGUUACCAUCGUUUCGGUAAUGACUAAGAAGAUUGUUGAUAUUCCGACCCUAGUGGUCAUAUCGAAUCGAGUCCGACUACGAUGAGUAUGUUGUGUGGUUCAGAGAACCAAGUUUGAUGUAGCGUCCGACUUAAACCAAACGGUUGAAAUCAAAGCGAUCAAUAGAAGUAUCGCACUCGUUGUUAAAGAAGUUGGUGGCUAGAAAUGCCUAAUGUUAAAGUGUGAUUAUAUCACAUUAGAACAUGAAGGAAGGCAUAGCCUGUUUUAGAAUUUAACUCUAAGAGACCUAAGUCUAAGUGUUGCAACAUACGAUGAUAGGUCAUUAGAAUAUGACACAUCGAUCCAUAGUAGUAAUAAAAGAAAUCAUCUCAAGUUCGUAUCCAGUAAGGAUUGAGAUUGUGACUUGAAGGUCAUAAUUGGGAGUCUAGCCUGAGGUAGAGAGCAGGUGCACGAUCGAAUACUCUUAUAGUCAAUGAGAUUAAGAGAUAGACUUGAAGGAAUGUAGAAGUUAUAAUUAUUACCUAGGAAGAAGAGAUGACGUAUGGAGUCAUUAUACGAACCUGUUUCGUUGAUGAUUCUGGGACGUAAUCAUCCUAAGGGGGAGAUAAUUGUAACGCCCGCAAAUCUGGGCUAGUCAAAUUAGAGGCAAUAGGGGUCGAAAACGACUUUCGACAAAAGAUUAAUUAGAAUAAAUAAUCUUAACCAAGUUGUAGAGUAUGUUAGAAGGUUUCCGUACAUAUAAAGAACGCCGAAAUCCGAGUUAUAACAAAGAAGUUAUGACCCGUCGAAGUUUCGCGACAAAACCGGCACGAUACCGGAAAGCGGAAAUAGUGAAUUUACGAUAGAGCGAGAUUUAGCCUUAGCAAUCUAAAUGAAAGUCGUAUAAUAUGUUAAACUAAGAACAUCAAUAAAAAGAACGCCCAAAUCUGACUUCGUAUGAAGAAGUUAUGAUUUUUCGAAGUUUCGGACUAGCAGUGUACAGCCCGAAAUUCGAAUAUUAGAUCGAGCGGUUUUUAGCCGACACGACCUAAACGAGAAUCGAAGAUCUCGUUAAGAGUAGCGUAACGAGAAAAAGAUGGGCGAAAACGGAUGUCGGAUGAAGAAGUUAUGAGGAUUUAACGGACCAAUCGUGUCCCGGCCCGUUAAUAAUAUAAAAUUUAAAAUCGAGCCAAAAUUAGCCGACGAAGUCUAAACGAAAGUUGUAGAGUACGUUCCCACCUUCGCGUGGAUAUAAAGAACGUCAAAAACGGAGGUCGUAUGCGAAAGUUACGAAUUUUUAAAGUUUGUACUCGAUUUUGCGAGAUCAGAUACGAAUUCGCUGACGUGGCGCUUUCCCAGCCGUCCGAUGAUGAUCGUUGAAGUCGCUUCAGAUGGCCGACACGUCGUCCUCGCAUACGCCCCGCAUCCGAGGUCAGUACGCCCCGCGUACCCUCUCCUUACCUCUUCCAAUGUUGCGAGCCAGCUGGUGUGAAGCUGGCACCCUUAUCCGAGACUACGCCCAGCGUAGCUGCUGGACGCGUCGCGUAGUCCGAGGCUGCUGGGGGCUAUAAAUAGCAUGCGAGCCAUUCCGAGUUUUUCACUCCAAGUCCACUUCUUUCUCUCACUAGUUUCUCUCUCUAGCUCAUCUAAACCCCCCAAAACACUAGAAAACCCCCUUAGCACCCUAGGGAAGCCCCGAGGCUCCCGGAGUCCCGAGAAAAAGGAGUUUUUCGGUUUCGAAACGCUGCUCCAAUUAAGUUCUGGUUUUCAAUAAUAUUCACUAUAAGUAUGCUACGCUUACGCAAUUUUUAAUAUAACUUUCAAAUAAUUAUAGGAAUGUUAUUAGGUCCUUAAAAUAAUUAAUUGGGCUAUUAUUAUGAGUUAUAUUGAGCGUUAUUAACGCUUAAUAAUAGUCAGACUAAUUAAUUUGUCGCGGUUAUCGUUAAACUAAACCCUAGUGGUAUCGGUACUAGGUUUUAUCGAAGGAAUAUCGUUUUGAGAGUAUCGAAGCGCUGUCCGAGUGCUGAGUCACCACCUACUCAGGUGAGUGCAUAGUCCCUUUCAUCUUACACAUAGAUAUGAAGUAUUUUAUAUAAACUACGUGCUAUGUGUGCAUAUUAUCUGAAUACUUGUUGUCUAUGCUGGAUGAACAUUUUAUACAUGUUUUAAAGGAUUUAAACUGUAUAACGUAUUUUAUAUAUACGAAUAUGUUGGGUAUGAUGAUGGGUAGAUGAAUGAUGAGAGAUAGAAGAUGACGUGAGUAUACAUUGGCAGCUAUAGACUUAGUGCCUAUGGGACAAACACCGGUAGCUAUGGACUUAGUACCUAUUAGAUAAAGACUGGUAGCUAUGGAUUUAGUACCCGAUGAAUAGACUAUAGCAGCUAUGGAAUUAGUGCUUUAUGAACGAACAUUGGCAGCUAUGGAUUUAGUGCCAGUCCUAUAACCCUGGAAGUAAGGGACUUCGGAAUAAACGAAUGCAGGAUAGACGACUCUUAGGUUAAAUCCUUAAGAGUAAAGAAGAUAACGGGGAUGGGUAAUUGGGUUGAUUGUUUGAUUGAACAUAAUAAUUAUAUUAUUGUGGGUUGAAAACCCUAUGUACUCACCAGGUUUCCCAACCUGACCCACUCAGUUUAUGUAUAUCACAG